UACGUAGGCAGCGAGCGUUGUUCGGAGUUACUGGGCGUAAAGGGUGUGUAGGCGGUUGUUUUAAGUUUGGUGUGAAAUCUCCCGGCUCCAACUGGGAGGGUGCGCCGAAUACUGAAUGACUUGGAGUGCGGGAGAGGAGAGUGGAAUUCCUGGUGUAGCGGUGAAAUGCGUAGAUAUCAGGAGGAACACCGGUGGUGUAGACGGCUCUCUGGACCGUAACUGACGCUGAGACACGAAAGCGUGGGUAGCAAACAGG
This 256-nucleotide ribosomal RNA is filed under the name uncultured bacterium. RNAcentral's name for it is "partial 16S ribosomal RNA". It matches the Rfam family "Bacterial small subunit ribosomal RNA", at positions 524 to 776 of the family's 1533-position model. The record is from RNAcentral.